AGAUCGUGAUGAGGACACUUGCACAGUAGAUCUUUGUAUCUUUCCCAUGCUUCAUACAUAGAUUAACUCUCAAAUUAGGUGAAGGUAGUAAUAUCAUUCCUCAACUU
Small nucleolar RNA from Carya illinoinensis, 107 nucleotides. Lineage: Eukaryota; Viridiplantae; Streptophyta; Magnoliopsida; Fagales; Juglandaceae. The record is from RefSeq and is a predicted model, not a curated record.